GAAAUGCGAUAACUAGUGUGAAUUGCAGAAUUCCGUGAAUCAUCGAGUCUUUGAACGCGCAUUGCGCCCCCUGGUAUUCCCGGGGGCAUGCCUGUCCGAGCGUCAUUGCUGCCCAUCAAGCACGGCUUGUGUGUUGGGUCGUCGUCCCCUCUCCGGGGGGGACGGGCCCCAAAGGCAGCGGCGGCACCGCGUCCGAUCCUCGAGCGUAUGGGGCUUUGUCACCCGCUCUGUAGGCCCGGCCGGCGCUUGCCGAACGCAAAUCAAUCUUUUUCCAGGUUGACCUCGGAUCAGGUAGGGAUACCCGCUGAACUUAAGC
This 316-nucleotide unclassified non-coding RNA is filed under the name plant metagenome. RNAcentral's name for it is "partial contains 5.8S ribosomal RNA, internal transcribed spacer 2, and large subunit ribosomal RNA". The stretch from base 1 to 105 matches the Rfam family "5.8S ribosomal RNA", at positions 50 to 154 of the family's 154-position model. The record is from RNAcentral.